Molecule: ribosomal RNA, 253 nt
Filed under: uncultured bacterium
Lineage: Bacteria
Description: partial 16S ribosomal RNA
Rfam family: Bacterial small subunit ribosomal RNA
Source: RNAcentral
GACAGAGGGUGCAAACGUUGUUCGGAUUCACUGGGCGUAAAGGGUGCGCAGGUGGGUUUGCAAGUUCGAUGUGAAAGCCCCGGGCUUAACCCGGGAAUGGCAUUGGAUACCGCAGAUCUGGAGGAUCGGAGGGGGGACUGGAAUUCUUGGUGUAGCAGUGAAAUGCGUAGAUAUCGAGAGGAACACCUGCGGCGAAGGCGGGUUGCUGGGCUGACACUGACGCUGAGGUGCGAAAGCGUGGGGAGCAAACAGG